Molecule: ribosomal RNA, 487 nt
Filed under: uncultured bacterium
Lineage: Bacteria
Description: partial 16S ribosomal RNA
Rfam family: Bacterial small subunit ribosomal RNA
Source: RNAcentral
GACGAACGCUGGCGGCGUGCUUAACACAUGCAAGUCGAACGGUGAUCUUGGGAGCUUGCUCCUGGGUGAUCAGUGGCGAACGGGUGAGUAACACGUGAGUAACCUGCCCCUGACUCUGGAAUAACCCCGGGAAACCGGGGCUAAUACCGGAUAUGACAUCAUCCCGCAUGGGUGUGGUGUGGAAAGUUUUUUCGGUUGGGGAUGGGCUCGCGGCCUAUCAGCUUGUUGGUGAGGUAGUGGCUCACCAAGGCGACGACAGGUAGCCGGCCUGAGAGGGCGACCGGCCACACUGGGACUGAGACACGGCCCAGACUCCUACGGGAGGCAGCAGUGGGGAAUAUUGCACAAUGGGCGGAAGCCUGAUGCAGCGACGCCGCGUGAGGGAUGACGGCCUUCGGGUUGUAAACCUCUUUCAGCUCUGAAGAAGCGAAAGUGACGGUAGGAGCAGAAGAAGCACCGGCUAACUACGUGCCAGCCGCCGCGGUAA